UUUAAUUUAUACAGUAACAUCAACAUGGCAAAGACAAACAACUUGGAAAGAUUUUAGAACUCUGAUCAGUGCAGUGACCAACAGAGAUGAUGGACCUAGGGAGCAGAGUAAGACCUACAGUGUUGGAUGUCGCCAACAUGGGAAUUUGUUUUGCUUGACUAUGCUUAUUUGGAGGAUUGUGUUUUUCUCUCCUUGUUGAGAGGAGUUUCGAAACAAAAUAACAACCACCAGCAUUUAUUAAGGGCUUCCUAUGUGCCAGGCACUGUGCUAAGUUCUAGAGAUAUAAAGGAAGAGCAAGUACAAGAUGAGGAAGGUGUGGCUUCCUUUUGUUUUGUUUUUAUAGAAGGAAGGCUUUAAAUAUCAGUCAACAGUAUGGUAUGAUAGUCAGAAAAACUAGCAUAAUCUUACAUAACAUUAACAAGACUGUAUUCAAGACUAGGGAGGUAAGAGUCCUAGCUGCUGCUCUUUUCAAAUCAAAUAAAACUAUAGAUGUAGAGCUAAAAGACUUUCGAGGCCGUCUAACUCCUGCCUUUUUACAGAUGAGGAGGGAAACAGGCUUAGAGAGGGGACAUGCCCCAAGGUUGCAUGGCAAGUGAAAGAGAUGGAAUUUGAGACCUAUUCUCCUAAUUCCCAUCUGUAGCCAGUACCACCAAACCCAUGUUGCUUCUCUAGAGCAAUAUGUUCAGUUGGGGGUGGGGGGGGCAGUCACAUUUCAGAAAGGACAUUGAUUAGCCUGAGUGUGAACAGCAUGGUGUGGGGAGGCUUAAAGCCCUGCUUUUGUUUUCAGGUGAAUCCAAAGCAGCAUAGGGAGAGUUCAUUUGGGGUUAUUUUUGUACACAGAAUGAAUGAAUUUUAAAAUAUACCACCCUAUUAAAUGAAAUUAAAUGGAUUUAUGUUAUUCGCAGCAGAGCUGACAAGAGAAACACCAUCUCUUUCUCUUCUCAUUUGGUGGUUAAUCAUGGAACUGGAACAAGGGUAAUUUUGCCUUGGAGGAGGCGGGGGAGGUUGUGCAGGGUGGGUCACUCCACAAAACAUUGUUCCUGUCUGCAUUGAUGAAGUGCUGACACGAAAGAGCAUACACUUGGGGAUGAGGACUGGGGGUGUUCCUUCAGGGCUUGGACACAAAACUGCCAGGAGUGGGGGGCUCUCUUCGUUUUAAUCUCUUCGACCUUCCCCCCUCCAGGCACACAUGCACAUGGUAAGGAAGAUUCAAGCCUCUGUCUUUAAUAAGCUCAGAAGACAGUAAAUCUUUGUAAUGAGAAAACUGCAUCUGCUAGACAUGACACACUGUAUGUGGUCUGAUAAAUUACACGUGAAAUUAUCUUUUUGGUGUUCUUCAAGAUAAAUUUGUCAUGCCCAAUUUCCAUGGUUAAUUCAAUUCAACUAGCCUUUAUUAAGCAUACCACCAUUUGCUGGGCCUCAGUUUCCUGAUCUAUAAAAUGAGGGAGUUGAGCUACACUGCCCUUAAGGACCUUUCCGACUUGAAAUCUGUGAACCCAGUUAAUCUUCCAGACUUUAAAUAUAUAUAUAUUUAUAGUUAUAUAUAAUAAAUGUAUAAUCUGUUCCUCCAACUGCCCCCUCCCUCUUGAACAAAAAAAAAAAAGCCUAUUAUCAUAAGCAUGCAGAGUCCAGCAAAACAGAUACCCUUCUCUGGGAGACUGGAAGUGGAAGUUUUUCUCUGCAUUUUAAGACUACUACCUCUCUGGCAGGAGGUAAGUGAUGUGUUUCAUCUUCAGUCCUCUGAACUAACAGUUAAUCAUGGCAUUGAUAAGAGUUCUCAAAGUCUUUCCAGGUUGUUCUCUACAGUGUUGCCUUUGUUGUACUGGUUCUGCUCACUUCACUCUUUAUCAGUUCAUAGAGUUCGGUCCAGUUUCCUUUAAAACUAUCCAUUUUGUCAUAUCUGGUAUGGUAGUAUUCCAUCACAUAAUUUUUUCAGCCAUUCCCCGAUUGAUGGGCACUGCCUCAAUUUCUGGUUCUUUGUCACCCCAAAAGGAGCUGCUAUAAAUAUUUUGGUACAUAAGGGUCCUUUUCUUCAAUCUCUGGAGUAUAGGCCUAGUAGUGGUUUACUUGGGUCAAAGGGUAGGCAUAGUUUAGGGAUAUUUUAGGCAUGGUUCCAAAUUGGUGCCACCGAGGUUCAAGGUUCUUAAUGUAUCUGUGUGUUGCAGACCCUUUGGCAGCAGUCUAAUGAAGUCUAUGGACCCCUUCUCAGAAAAAUGUUUUUAAAUCAUCGAAGGAAAUGGAUAAAUUUCAAUUAGAGGCUAACAAAAAUAAAGGUAUGAUUUUUGUUUUCCUCCUGUCCGAUUUCAUCAAGUCCCUGAAAUAUGUAUAUGAACCCCAGGUUAGGAACUCCUGCUCUAUUCAGGCUGUGUCCUAGGAAUUCCCCAAGAUAAGAUUUCUCUUUUUUGUUUUUGUUUUACCACCCCCAAAAAAUCUGUCUUCAGAGUGGGCCUUGUUUUUGACCUGCUCCAGUUUGGGGCCAAGAUGGAAAGGGAAUUAAAGUUAGAAUUUCCACCUGGGUACAGCCAGGGAAAGAAGAGGCCCACUCCUCAACUUUCCCCAGAGGUAACUGGCCACCUUCCUGAAUAGUACAUCCUUGAAAUGCUGGAUGGGUGCUAUGAGAAAAGGACAAGGCCCCAAAGUGAGGUGCUCUCAGUAGCUCUGGCCAUUGGCAUCAGGAAUAGGAUGUGACAGCUAAGUAAGCUAAUGAAAUCAUGGGCUUCCAAGAGUAAAGAGGAGAUAGUCUUGGACUGACCACAUCUGCAACAUUGACUUUGACCCCAGAUACCACCUCUUGGGAAGUCAGUGAUAAGAUGGAGAAUGUCCAGAGGAAGACAACCAGGGUGGUAAAGGGUCUCAGGUCUGGUUAGUUGAAGGAACAGGUAGAGAGGGGAGUGACUAGCUCUUCAUGUGUCUGAAGGGCACUUCUGUGAAAAAGGGAUUAGGCUUAGCUUUGCCCUACAGGGUAGAAAGGGAGUCUCUAGUAGAAGCUACAAAGAAGCAAAUUUAGGUAAGGCAGACUUCCUAAUCAUCCCCAGCCAUUGGACACUGUCAAGUAGAGGCCAAAUGAUCACUUACUAGGUUCUUUCUCUGGUAUAGGUUGGACAAGAUGGCUGGCCUCCAAACUCUGAAUUUUUGUGGUACUGUGAAUUCCCAGGCCCAGCCCCAAUUUUUUCCCUUCAUUGAGGAGUCUGGCAAGUAGGACAGUCAGAAAGGGCAGUAGGAAGGGAAGCUGAAGAAGGGAUGAAAGUCUGUGGCCUUCCCCUCGCUGAAUAAAGGUCCACCCGUGCUUCACAGAUUCAAGACCCAAAUCCUCUGGACCCAAACCAGUUUGGGUUGUAAUGGAAAAAUCUGCAAAAGGGAGAUCGGGACAGUGGUGUGCCCUUAUGGUGAGGAAAGACCAGCAGAAAGAGAGAGUGACUGAAGAGCUGAGCUGGUCCCUUCCAACAUCCGUUUUUGUCAUCUUUGCCAUUCUGAUGGUGUGGGAGCCAUAGAUCUGAAAGAUAACUUCUUCCUUGGUGCACCAAUUUGAUUAUAUCACCCUCUGUGUCUAUACCAGGGGCAAGGCAAACACAGGAAUAAGAAAAAGGGCCUCUGGGUCCCUCCUCUUGAAAAUCAGUACUCAACCUCAGGCUUGGCCUGGAAUUUGGAGAAAAACCACUUUGGUGCUUUUCGACUUUGCCUCCUUUCUUCCGGCCUGGGAGGAAAAAGGGAGUAGCCUUGUAAAGGUAAACUCCUCCACUUCUACCCUUGAUCCCAUAGCCUCCUAGCUCUGGCUGUCUUUCUCAUUUCCUGCAUGUGUAUCUCUGUGUCUGUCUCCCUAGCUAAAGGCUCCUUCCUUCCCCUGGCCAACAAAGAAGUUCAGGUCUUCCCAAUCCUUAAAAAACCUGCUAUCCUCUCAAGCUAAUGUCCUAUGCCUUUCCUCCCUUUUACUACCUAAUUCUUAGAAAGGGUAGUCUCCAUUCACUGCCUCUACCUCCUCAAUUCAAUUUAAUUCAGCAGUUUAUUUUAAAGCACCAGGAACUAUGCUGGAUGUGGGGAGAUACAAAGACAAAAAUGAAAACAGUCCCUGCCCUCAAGGAGCUUACAUUCUACAUUCUUUGUGAGCAAACUACGUGGAGAUCAGUAAAUGUAAAGUAGAAAUGAAUUGGGAGGAGGGAAGCACUGAACAACUGGGAAGAUAACACUGGCCAGGCACUUGGGCUGGGGAUUACCAAAGGUGAAGGUAAGGAACACAUUCCAGAUAUGGGUGACAACCUGGGCAAAGGCAAGGAAGAAGGAAAGGCCUAUUUGAGGAAUAGCAAACAGUAAGGUUGGUCCAGAACAAUGGAAAACCAGCGCACAUGCUGUUGCUUUUAACUGCCCAGCAGAGGAGUUUGUGUUUUAUCCUCAGGUUACUUACAAGGGGUCAGAAGCCAUCUUUUGAAGCCACUGUUCUGUUGAAACUGCCCUCCCCAAGGUCCACUUUUGAUUGGUAAAUUGCCUGGCAUUUGCUCAGUCUUCAUCCUCUUUACCUUCUCUGUCAUAUUUCUAUUGAGCAGCCUUUCCUCCUGGCCACUCUCGUCUCUUGGCCCUCUUCCUACCAAUAUGACCACUCCUCAGUCUCCUUCAUGGACUCCUUGGCCUCUUCCAGUGGCGCCAGCCCUUACAGACAUGGCCUUAACCCCAGGCUUCUCUUGGAAGUCCUCUACUCUGUAUACGCUCUCCCUUGAAGAUUUCCUCAAACCGAGAGCUCAGUUAUUCACCUUUCUGCAGCUUUUUUCCCAAAUUUACAUAUCGAGCUCUGAUCACUCCCCUGACCUCUAGCUCUGAAUUUCUUGCUCUGCUCUACAUUCCAUUGCAGACUUUAUCUCUUAUCUAUUGAUAUAAUCAUGUGGGAUCUUUUAAAUAUAAUUAAUCGUGCUAAUUAUUUUACUAACUCAUUGCAUUCCUGGAGGAAAUCCAACUUGAUCUUGGUAAAUCAACCUGAAUGUCUCAUAGGCCUCUCAGAGGUAACCUGUCCAAAACUGAGCUCCAUGUUUUACCUUCAUUUACCCUGUCUUCCUCUACACACCAACCUCCAGUCAUCCAAGAUUGAGAACUCAAAAUAAUUUCCCCCCCUUCCUUCUCCUUCACUAUGCUCCUUUGCCCACCCCACUCUACCUCCCCCUUCCCCCCAUACUCAUAAUCAGUUGUCAGAUCCUGCAAUUCUACCUCCACAGCGUGCCUCAGAGCUAUCCCUUGCUUUGUAUCCAUAGGGCCCACCACCCUAGCUUAGACCCUCACCACUGCUGACCUGAACCAUUGGCAAAGCCUCCUAACUGGCCUUCCCACUUCCAGCCUCUCUCCUCCUCUGUUGCGUCUUUCAUGCAGCUAGGAAAAUAAUCCUUACAGUGAAAUUAUCAAGACAAGGCAAGAACUGAUUAGCUGCUCCACUUAUGGUACAGAGAGGGUGCCAGAGUUUGCCAUCACUACUGUAUUAUGCUUCCAUGCCAAGCUUGUGAUUGCUUUUCUGAACUCUCUUGUUCCUCCUCCCCUUUUCCAAGUGGUCUGCAGGCCCCCCACCCUUGUUCAGCCAGACCCUUACAAAUAGCCUAACCAGCCUUCCUAAAGGAGUGGAAGAAAUUUUAAUUGACAUUUUUAAUUUUUACAUCAUUUUACUUUCCACCUAUAUCCCUUCUCCACCUCCUUCUUAAAACAAAUAAUUUUGUUAAAAGAGAAAAGAGGAAGAGAAAAAAAUAAGCAAAACCUCUCAAUACAUCAAAAAAAAAAAUCUGGUAAUAUAUACAGUUUUCUCCAUCCGUCAGAAAAGGAGUGGGAGGUAAUGCAAUCUCAUAGUGUCAUCUCCUUUGAGAAAGCUUUCCUAUCUUAAUUGUUCAUUCUCUCUCCCUUCUCCUCAAAUUGAUGUGAGUAUAUGUAGAUAUUGUGUCUCUUCCCAAAGAUGAAUGUCAUCUUCUUGAGGGUGGGAAGGGUUUCAUUUUGGUACAGUGUUUAAUGGAUGCUUAUUGAUUGGGAUGGGUUGAAGGCGGUUCUACCACUGCAUUGCCCAAAUGGGGUCACAUGGCCUUUGAGCUGCCUGCCACUGGCCUUCAUCUAGAUUCUGGCUGCUCCCUGGCACUUUGCAUGAUGAGAUUGGAAUUUCAGAUGCUGUAAGCAGCAAAAGGAGGAAUCCUCAAGCAGCACCUGGAGAUGGGUAUGGCAUGCAGUGUUGCCAUUCACCAGGGAUACUGGUACUGGAGAAAGAGAAAAUUAGUAGAAAGGUCAGGGAAUCUGAAGUUUAGUACCAGCUGUAACAUAAUGGCUGGGGUGUCUGGGGCAAAAACCCUUCUGUUCUCUGUGUCUGUUUCCUCUUCUGUCUGUCAUAUGAAAAGGGUUGAUCGACAUCUCUGGGGCCCCCAGUCCUCCUUGAUCCUUUAAUCAUGCCCUCAGUGUAUUUGCCUGACUAAAGUAAUUUUCGUUUUUAACUGUUCUUCAGAACAAAAUCCUGCAGUUGUGAAUAACUCAUUUCUGUGUGUGCAUUUACGCUUUCCAUGUGUACAAAACUCUGGCCUGGCACUGAGAAAGCCAGGGCAGGAGGUCUAGUCAACUUCCAUCAGUCAGCUGUGGCCUGAAAAAUGCUAGUCAUUCUGCUCCUCUGUGGUAGCUCUCUUUCUAGGAGAGGACUGGGCUGUCCUGGGAAGAAGGGAGGAUCUUAUCCCUGAGAUACUUCAAGAAAAGCUUCAGUUCAAAUAAAUAAGCUACUAUGUACCAGGCACUAUGUUAAAUGGUGAGGCUACAAAGAAAAACCAAAUAGUCCCUGUCCUUGAUGAGCUUACAUUCUAUUUUUGGUUAUAUUUAAGUUUAGAGGGAUCCUUUUACGUCUCUGCUUUUUAGAGUCUUUAAUAGAAAAGAAUGCUGCAUUCCAUUGGAGACUUUUCUUUAUCUAUUGGUAUGACCCUGUGGUGAGGUUUUUUUUGUUGUUGUUUAUAUGAUUAAUUGUCCUAAUUAUUUUACUAACAGAAACCUCUUUGCAUCCCUAGAGGAAAUCCAACUCACUCAUAGUGAAUCAUGGUCUAUUGCUGUAAUCUUGAGAGGCAGUAUAACAUAUUGAACAAAAUGCUUUCCUUGGAGUCAGAGAGGCCUGGGUUCAUAUCCUGCCUGAUAUAUGCACUAGCCGCGUGACUGAGGAGAUCGCUUAACUUCUCUGAGCCUCAGUUGCCUCAUCUGUAAAACAGGGAUACUAAUUCCAAUAGAACCUGCAUCACGGGGUUGUGAUGUUCAAAUGAACUAAUCUGCUUUGCAAAUGUAAAUGUUAGUUAUUACUGUCAAGAUAAUUAUAAGCUACAGAGAAGGCACUGUGUUGCUAGAGAAAGUUUUCUCACCUGGGAGUUUCCUGUACCAGUAAAACCCCAGCUCUGCUCCCUAUCCCUGUCGCUACGAUUAUAUUUUAAAAUGUUUGCUUCAGUAUUCAUUAGUGAAAUGGGUCUACAGUUUCUCCUUAGAUCAAGCUGAAAUGGGCCUCCCUACAUCUCUAGAGCAGGGGUAGGGAACUUGCAGUGGCCUUCUAGGUCUUUGGGUGUGGC
Phascolarctos cinereus (koala) is the source of this 7538-nucleotide non-coding RNA. The record is from RefSeq and is a predicted model, not a curated record. NCBI's taxonomy places the organism in Eukaryota, Metazoa, Chordata, Mammalia, Diprotodontia, Phascolarctidae.